GAGGGUAAAGUAUUUUUAGUAUAUCUCAGUUACAUUGAGAAGGACCAAGUAUCUGGUACUCUUU
RNAcentral lists this transfer RNA (64 nucleotides) under Aplysia kurodai (Kuroda's sea hare). Its description in RNAcentral is "tRNA-Val". The record is from RNAcentral. Lineage: Eukaryota; Metazoa; Mollusca; Gastropoda; Aplysiida; Aplysiidae.